RNAcentral lists this ribosomal RNA (494 nucleotides) under uncultured bacterium. RNAcentral's name for it is "partial 16S ribosomal RNA". It matches the Rfam family "Bacterial small subunit ribosomal RNA", at positions 28 to 507 of the family's 1533-position model. The record is from RNAcentral.
GAUGAACGCUGGCGGCGUGCCUAAUACAUGCAAGUCGAGCGAACGGACGAGAAGCUUGCUUCUCUGAUGUUAGCGGCGGACGGGUGAGUAACACGUGGAUAACCUACCUAUAAGACUGGGAUAACUUCGGGAAACCGGAGCUAAUACCGGAUAAUAUUUUGAACCGCAUGGUUCAAAAGUGAAAGACGGUCUUGCUGUCACUUAUAGAUGGAUCCGCGCUGCAUUAGCUAGGUAAGGUAACGGCUUACCAAGGCAACGAUGCAUAGCCGACCUGAGAGGGUGAUCGGCCACACUGGAACUGAGACACGGUCCAGACUCCUACGGGAGGCAGCAGUUGGGAAUCUUCCGCAAUGGGCGAAAGCCUGACGGAGCAACGCCGCGUGAGUGAUGAAGGUCUUCGGAUCGUAAAACUCUGUUAUUAGGGAAGAACAUAUGUGUAAGUAACUGUGCACAUCUUGACGGUACCUAAUCAGAAAGCCACGGCUAACUACGUG